ACCUAGUGAUAGGUAUACUUUAGGAGGGGCUUGCGCCAUAUUAGUUAGUUGGUAGGGUAAUGGCCUACCAAGACGAUGAUGUGUAGCUGGACUGAGAGGUUGAACAGCCACAUUGGGACUGAGACACGGCCCAAACUCCUACGGGAGGCAGCAGUAGGGAAUUUUCGGCAAUGGAGGAAACUCUGACCGAGCAACGCCGCGUGAACGACGAAGUACUUUGGUAUGUAAAGUUCUUUUAUCAAGGAAGAAAAGCAAGUGGUGAACCAUUUGUUUGCCGGUACUUGAUGAAUAAGCCCCGGCUAAUUAUGUGCCAGCAGCCGCGGUAAGACAUAAGGGGCAAGUGUUAUCCGGAAUUAUUGGGCGUAAAGGGUGCGUAGGCGGUCUAGUAAGUCAGUGGUGUAAUGGCAACGCUCAACGUUGUCCGGCUAUUGAAACUGCUAAACUUGAGUUAGAUAGAGGCGAGUGGAAUUUCAUGUGUAGCGGUAAAAUGCGUAAAUAUAUGGAGGAACACCAGAGGCGUAGGCGGCUCGCUGGGUCUUAACUGACGCUGAGGCACGAAAGCGUGGGGAGCAAACAGGAUUAGAUACCCUGGUAGUCCACGCCGUAAACGAUGAGUACUAAGUGUCGGGUUAAACCGGUACUGAAGUUAACACAUUAAGUACUCCGCCUGAGUAGUACGUACGCAAGUAUGAAACUUAAAGGAAUUGACGGGACUCCGCACAAGCGGUGGAUCAUGUUGUUUAAUUCGAAGAUACCCGAAAAACCUUACCAGGUCUUGACAUGUUUUUGCGAAACGGUAGUAAUAUCGUGGAGGUUAUCAGAAACACAGGUGGUGCAUGGUUGUCGUCAGCUCGUGUCGUGAGAUGUUAGGUUAAGUCCUAAAACGAGCGAAACCCUUAUCGUUAGUUGCCAGCACGUUAUGGUGGGGACUUUAACGAGACUGCCAGUGAUAAAUUGGAGGAAGGUGAGGAUCACGUCAAAUCAGCAUGCCCCUUAUGACCUGGGCUACAAACGUGAUACAAUGGCUGUUACAAAGGGUAGCUGAAACGCAAGUUCUUGGCCAAUCCCCAAAAACAGUCUCAGUCCGGAUUGAAGUCUGCAACUCGACUUCAUGAAGUGGAAUCGCUAGUAAUCG
This 1135-nucleotide ribosomal RNA is filed under the name Candidatus Phytoplasma citri. RNAcentral's name for it is "bacterial SSU rRNA". It matches the Rfam family "Bacterial small subunit ribosomal RNA", at positions 201 to 1344 of the family's 1533-position model. Lineage: Bacteria; Bacillati; Mycoplasmatota; Mollicutes; Acholeplasmatales; Acholeplasmataceae. The record is from RNAcentral.